This 782-nucleotide ribosomal RNA is filed under the name uncultured bacterium. Its description in RNAcentral is "bacterial SSU rRNA". It matches the Rfam family "Bacterial small subunit ribosomal RNA", at positions 1 to 756 of the family's 1533-position model. RNAcentral also lists the same sequence under 1 other name. The record is from RNAcentral.
GGUCCAGACUUUGAUUAUGGCUCAGGACGAACGCUGGCGGCGUGCUUAACACAUGCAAGUCGAACGAGAAGAGAUGAGAAGCUUGCUUCUUAUCGAUUCGAGUGGCAAACGGGUGAGUAACGCGUAAGCAACCUGCCCUCUAGAUGGGGACAACAGCUGGAAACGGCUGCUAAUACCGAAUACGUUCUUUCUGCCGCAUGGCAGAGGGAAGAAAGGGAGGCUCUUCGGAGCUUUCGCUGGAGGAGGGGCUUGCGUCUGAUUAGCUAGUUGGAGGGGUAACGGCCCACCAAGGCGACGAUUAGUAGCCGGUCUGAGAGGAUGAACGGCCACAUUGGGACUGAGACACGGCCCAGACUCCUACGGGAGGCAGCAGUGGGGAAUCUUCCGCAAUGGACGAAAGUCUGACGGAGCAACGCCGCGUGAACGAUGACGGCCUUCGGGUUGUAAAGUUCUGUUAUACGGGACGAAUGGUACGACGGUCAAUACCCGUCGUAAGUGACGGUACCGUAAGAGAAAGCCACGGCUAACUACGUGCCAGCAGCCGCGGUAAUACGUAGGUGGCAAGCGUUGUCCGGAAUUAUUGGGCGUAAAGGGCGCGCAGGCGGCGUCGUAAGUUGGUCUUAAAAGUGCGGGGCUUAACCCCGUGAGGGGACCGAAACUGCGAUGCUAGAGUAUCGGAGAGGAUAGCGGAAUUCCUAGUGUAGCGGUGAAAUGCGUAGAUAUUAGGAGGAACACCAGUGGCGAAAGCGGCUUUCUGGACGACAACUGACGCUGAGGCGCGA